Molecule: ribosomal RNA, 256 nt
Filed under: uncultured bacterium
Lineage: Bacteria
Description: partial 16S ribosomal RNA
Rfam family: Bacterial small subunit ribosomal RNA
Source: RNAcentral
GACGUAGGGGGCAAGCGUUAAUCGGAAUACUGGGCGUAAAGCGUGCGCAGGCGGUGAUGUAAGACAGGUGUGAAAUCCCCGGGCUUAACCUGGGAACUGCAUCCGAGUACUGGAUGGCUUGAAGUCCGGGAGAGGGAUGCAGAAUUCCAGGUGUAGCGGUGAAAUGCGUAGAUAUCUGGAGGAAUACCGGGUGGCGAAGGCGGCAUCCUGGGCUAACACUGACGCUCAUGGCACGAAAGCGUGGGGAGCAAACAGG